GAUGAACGCUAGCUACAGGCUUAACACAUGCAAGUCGAGGGGCAGCAUGAUUGAAGCUUGCUUCAAUUGAUGGCGACCGGCGCACGGGUGAGUAACACGUAUCCAACCUUCCGUACACUCAGGGAUAGCCUUUCGAAAGAAAGAUUAAUACCUGAUGGUAUCUUAAGCACACAUGUAAUUAAGAUUAAAGAUUUAUCGGUGUACGAUGGGGAUGCGUUCCAUUAGGUAGUAGGCGGGGUAACGGCCCACCUAGCCUACGAUGGAUAGGGGUUCUGAGAGGAAGGUCCCCCACAUUGGAACUGAGACACGGUCCAAACUCCUACGGGAGGCAGCAGUGAGGAAUAUUGGUCAAUGGGCGAGAGCCUGAACCAGCCAAGUAGCGUGCAGGAUGACGGCCCUAUGGGUUGUAAACUGCUUUUAUAAGGGAUAAAGUGGGAGUCGUGACUCUUUUUGCAUGUACCUUAUGAAUAAGGACCGGCUAAUUCCGUGCCAGCAGCCG
RNAcentral lists this ribosomal RNA (499 nucleotides) under uncultured bacterium. Its description in RNAcentral is "bacterial SSU rRNA". It matches the Rfam family "Bacterial small subunit ribosomal RNA", at positions 28 to 517 of the family's 1533-position model. The record is from RNAcentral.